Molecule: ribosomal RNA, 1159 nt
Filed under: Maribacter sp. Hel_I_14
Lineage: Bacteria; Pseudomonadati; Bacteroidota; Flavobacteriia; Flavobacteriales; Flavobacteriaceae
Description: bacterial SSU rRNA
Rfam family: Bacterial small subunit ribosomal RNA
Source: RNAcentral
AUCUACCUUGUACAGGGGAAUAGCCCAGGGAAACUUGGAUUAAUGCCCCGUGGUACCAUGACCCGGCAUCGGGAUAUGGUUAAAGCCUUCGGGCGGUACAAGAUGGCCAUGCGUCCCAUUAGUUUGUUGGUAAGGUAACGGCUUACCAAGACUACGAUGGGUAGGGGCCCUGAGAGGGGGAUCCCCCACACUGGUACUGAGACACGGACCAGACUCCUACGGGAGGCAGCAGUGAGGAAUAUUGGACAAUGGAGGAGACUCUGAUCCAGCCAUGCCGCGUGCAGGAAGAAUGCCCUAUGGGUAGUAAACUGCUUUUAUACGGGAAGAAAAAGAGCUACGUGUAGCUUACUGACGGUACCGUAAGAAUAAGGACCGGCUAACUCCGUGCCAGCAGCCGCGGUAAUACGGAGGGUCCGAGCGUUAUCCGGAAUUAUUGGGUUUAAAGGGUCCGUAGGCGGGCCGAUAAGUCAGGGGUGAAAGUCUGCCGCUCAACGGUAGAACUGCCUUUGAUACUGUCGGUCUUGAGUUAUAGUGAAGUUGCCGGAAUAUGUAGUGUAGCGGUGAAAUGCAUAGAUAUUACAUAGAACACCGAUUGCGAAGGCAGGUGACUAACUAUAUACUGACGCUGAUGGACGAAAGCGUGGGGAGCGAACAGGAUUAGAUACCCUGGUAGUCCACGCCGUAAACGAUGGAUACUAGCUGUCCGGAACCUUGAGUUCUGGGCGGCCAAGCGAAAGUGAUAAGUAUCCCACCUGGGGAGUACGUUCGCAAGAAUGAAACUCAAAGGAAUUGACGGGGGCCCGCACAAGCGGUGGAGCAUGUGGUUUAAUUCGAUGAUACGCGAGGAACCUUACCAGGGCUUAAAUGCAUAUUGACAGGUCUAGAGAUAGAUUUUCCUUCGGGCAAUUUGCAAGGUGCUGCAUGGUUGUCGUCAGCUCGUGCCGUGAGGUGUCAGGUUAAGUCCUAUAACGAGCGCAACCCCUACCGUUAGUUGCCAGCAUGUCAUGAUGGGGACUCUAACGGGACUGCCGGUGCAAACCGUGAGGAAGGUGGGGAUGACGUCAAAUCAUCACGGCCCUUACGUCCUGGGCCACACACGUGCUACAAUGGCAGGUACAGAGAGCAGCCAUGUCGCAAGGCAGAGCGAAUCUAUAAAACC